Long non-coding RNA from Pecten maximus, 876 nucleotides. RefSeq lists it as uncharacterized. The transcript has 3 exons. The record is from RefSeq and is a predicted model, not a curated record. NCBI's taxonomy places the organism in Eukaryota, Metazoa, Mollusca, Bivalvia, Pectinida, Pectinidae.
GUGUAUAGGGUGGGGAGUGUAGGACAGGUGUGGGAUAGAGAGGUGUAUAUAAGGGUUGGGAGUGUAUGAUAGGUGUGGGAUAGAGAGGUGUAUAGGGUGGGGAGUGUAGGAUAGGUGUGGGAUAGAGAGGUGUAUAGGGUGGGGAGUGUAGGACAGGUGUGGGAUAGAGAGGUGUAUAGGGUGGGGAGUGUAGGAUAGGUGUGGGACAGAGAGGUGUAUAGGAUGGGGAGUGUAUGAUAGGUGUGGGAUAGAGAGGUGUAUAGGGUGGGGAGUGUAGGAUAGGUGUGGGAUAGAGAGGUGUAUAGGGUGGGGAGUGUAGGAUAGGUGUGGGAUAGAGAGGUGUAUAGGGUGGGGAGUGUAUGAUAGGUGUGGGAUAGAGAGGUGUAUAGGGUGGGGAGUGUAUGAUAGGUGUGGGAUAGAGAGGUGUAUAGGGUGGGGAGUGUAGGAUAGGUGUGGGAUAGAGAGGUGUAUAGGGUGGGGAGUGUAUGAUAGGUGUGGGAUAGAGAGGUGUAUAGGGUGGGGAGUGUAUGAUAGGUGUGGGAUAGAGAGGUGUAUAGGGUGGGGAGUGUAGGAUAGGUGUGGGAUAGAGAGGUGUAUAGGGUGGGGAGUGUAGGAUAGGUGUGGGAUAGAGAGGUGUAUAGGGUGGGGAGUGUAGGAUAGGUGUGGGAUAGAGAGGUGUGUAGGGUGGGGAGUGUAUGAUAGGUGUGGGAUAGAGAGGUGUAUAGGGUGGGGAGUGUAUGAUAGGUGUGGGAUAGAGAGGUGUAUAGGGUGGGGAGUGUAGGAUAGGUGUGGGAUAGAGAGGUGUAUAGGGUGGGGAGUGUAGGAUAGGUGUGGGAUAGAGAGGUGUAUAGGGUGGGGAGUGUAGGAUAGGUGUGG